AUGCUUCGGGGCAGCCGACCGGCAGUGGCCACGGCGGCGGCGCUGCUCCUCUCGCCGGCGGCGGCGCCGGCGCCCCGCCUCCCGCGCCGAUUCCUCUCCCUCACCGCCACCCCCUACCCGCUCUACUACGACCUCCUCGUCCACCGCCCCGUCAAACCCCCCAAAUCCACCCCCUCCGACGCCACCGACGCCGCCGCCCCCCGCCCCCCGCCGCCCGACGCGGAGGGCGCCGACGAGCAUCAGCAGCCCGCUCUCGACCGCGCGCAGCGCAAGUACCUACGGAAGCGCCGCAGCCGGCAGCUCCCGGACCCGGACGCCACCACGGGCACCAAGCCGACGACCACGUCGGAGAUGGUGGAGCUGCGGCCGGAGGUGGUGGACUUCCCUCGCCUCCACGCGCGCGAGGAGGCGCUCUACUUCCACGACGCCUUCGCCAUGCCCUGGGAGAAGGACAAGCACUACCGCAUGCUCUACCGCCUCGAGAAGAAGUACUUCCCGGAGCAGUCCCUCGACAACGCCUUCGUCGCCGCCGACGCCGCCGCGCCGGCGCCCUCCGACGCCGCCGACAAGGGCCUCGUCUUCUUCGAGGAGGAGAAGGAGGAGGGCGGGGAGGUCGGGAAGAAGGAGGGGGCAGACAAGGGGGAGGUGCUGGAGAGGAAGGUGGAGGAGUUCUUCAGGGCCCUGAAGAAAGGGCCUGAGGAGGGGAAGGCCGACGACGCUUCGACGGUGGCGAAGAAGAAGGCGGUGUUGGGAGGGGCGCCGAGGCAGGUGAAGCGGGAUGCGGAGAGGGAGGAAGAAGACUGGCCGCGGCCGCACCUCGCGAGCACGAGGACGGAGCUGCCGCCUAGGUGGGACGGCCCGACCGGGACCGUCGUGCUCAUCGACAAGCCCAAAGGGUGGACCUCAUUUACUGUUUGUGGAAAACUACGGCGGUUGGUGAAAGUGCAAAAGGUUGGCCAUGCUGGUACUCUGGAUCCUAUGGCCACUGGAUUGUUGAUUGUUUGUGUGGGCAAAGCAACCAAAGUUGUUGAUAGAUAUCAAGGCAUGGUUAAAGGCUAUAGUGGUGUUUUCCGGCUUGGAGAAGCAACAUCAACCUGGGAUGCAGAUUCACCAGUUAUUCAGAGGGAAUCAUGGGAACACAUCAAAGAUGAAGAUAUUAGAAAGGCAGCAGCAUCAUUCAUGGGUGAAAUAUGGCAAGUUCCUCCGAUGUUUUCUGCCAUCAAGGUGGGUGGUGAAAAAAUGUAUGACAAGGCAAGGAGGGGCGAAUCGAUAGAGCUUUCACCAAGACGUAUAUCAAUAUACAAGUUUGAUAUCGAGCGCAGUUUAGAAGACAGGCAAAAUUUGAUAUUUCGAGUUACUUGCUCGAAAGGAACAUACAUUCGGUCCCUCUGCGCAGACUUGGGGAAAGCUCUUCGAAGCUGUGCUCAUUUAACUGCCCUUCGGAGGGACUCAAUUGGUGACUAUUCGGUCAAUGACGCUUGGAACUUUGACGAACUGCAAGAACAAAUCACCAAGGGAUACCUAUGA
Molecule: ribosomal RNA, 1527 nt
Filed under: Triticum aestivum (bread wheat)
Lineage: Eukaryota; Viridiplantae; Streptophyta; Magnoliopsida; Poales; Poaceae
Description: partial small subunit ribosomal RNA
Source: RNAcentral